GGUUAAGUGACUAAGCGUACACGGUGGAUGCCUAGGCAGUCAGAGGCGAUGAAGGGCGUGCUAAUCUGCGAAAAGCGUCGGUAAGGUGAUAUGAACCGUUAUAACCGGCGAUACCCGAAUGGGGAAACCCAGUGUGUUUCGACACACUAUCAUGUCAUGAAUACAUAGUGGCAUGAGGCGAACCGGGGGAACUGAAACAUCUAAGUACCCCGAGGAAAAGAAAUCAACCGAGAUUCCCCCAGUAGCGGCGAGCGAACGGGGAGGAGCCCAGAACCUGAAUCGGCUUGUGUGUUAGUGGA
This 299-nucleotide ribosomal RNA is filed under the name Serratia marcescens. RNAcentral's name for it is "partial 23S ribosomal RNA". It matches the Rfam family "Bacterial large subunit ribosomal RNA", at positions 1 to 304 of the family's 2925-position model. Lineage: Bacteria; Pseudomonadati; Pseudomonadota; Gammaproteobacteria; Enterobacterales; Yersiniaceae. The record is from RNAcentral. RNAcentral also lists the same sequence under 1 other name.